AGAUCAUCUCCAAACACUCGGCUUCCGCGUGGAUCUGAUACCAGUUGAUUUUGUCAACUAUUGCGUGCUGGAGAUGUGUGGACAUGAGAACCGCAUUUAAAGGACGGGACUGCGGUUUCUUCGCCGUCGCGGACAAAGCAUUCGCUUCGAGACUCCCUGGCCCUUUCCGCCUCUUCCUUGUAAUACCAAUACAAAAGCCCUGUCCACCGCCUGCGCGUUUAAGGACCACGACGCACAGUAUAACGGGUGUUCCGCUGUAACAUAAAGAAUCUUGCUAUAAAUACAAACUAUGAGCGAGACCCAGUCUGCCGUAGAGCGAUUAACGCAGUUGUGGAAUCCUCUGAAAAGUUUCUCAGAGCACGAAGCCAGCGAUGGUUCUGGAC
Molecule: long non-coding RNA, 383 nt
Organism: Pieris brassicae (large cabbage white)
Lineage: Eukaryota; Metazoa; Arthropoda; Insecta; Lepidoptera; Pieridae
Exons: 3
Source: RefSeq, a predicted model, not a curated record